AAAUUACCCACUCUCUGAACGAGGAGGUAGUGAAGAUAAAUAUCGAUACAGAACUCAAUUGAGGCUCUGUAAUCGAAAUGAGUGCAAUAUAAAUCCUACAACGAGGAUCUAUUGGAGGGCAAGUCUGGUGCCAGCAGCCGCGGUAACUCCAGCUCCAAUAGCGUAUAUUAAAGUUGCUGCAGUUAAAAAGCUCGUAGUUGGAUCUGGGCCAUGUAGUGAUUGUCGGUUUUGGUGUUUCAAACUAACGUGUGUCGUGCCUGGCCGGUAUAUUUGCUCAUGGCUUCGCAGCUGUGUCCUUUUGUCUUCGGGCAAUUGGAUGGUAUUGGGUGUUAGCCCUUGCCCCUUUUUUGGGGGGCGGGGGCAGCUCAGUACCAUGUUCUGUUGAUGCUCUUAACCGGGUGUCCGGAACUCUCAGCACGUUUACUUUGAACAAAUUUGAGUGCUCAAAGCAGGCCGCUUGUUGCCUGAAAAUUCUUGCAUGGAAUAAUGGAAUAGGACUUUGGUCCUAUUUUGUUGGUUUGAUAGAACCGAAGUAAUGAUAAACAGAGACAGACGGGGGCAUUUGUAUGGCGGCGCUAGAGGUGAAAUUCGUGGACCGUCGCCAGACAAACUAAAGCGAAAGCAUCUGCCAAGUAUGUUUUCAUUUACCAGGAGCGAAAGUCAGAGGUUCGAAGACGAUCAGAUACCGUCCUAGUUCUGACCAUAAACGAUGCCAACUGAUGAUCCGUGGUGUUUACUAUACAUGAACCCACGGGCAGUCUCCGGGAAACCUGU
RNAcentral lists this ribosomal RNA (774 nucleotides) under Mizelleus siamensis. RNAcentral describes it as "SSU rRNA". It matches the Rfam family "Eukaryotic small subunit ribosomal RNA", at positions 438 to 1102 of the family's 1831-position model. Lineage: Eukaryota; Metazoa; Platyhelminthes; Monogenea; Dactylogyridea; Ancylodiscoididae. The record is from RNAcentral.